GCCCUAGCGGCGAACGGGUGAGUAACACGUGGGCAACCUGCCCUCAGCUCUGGGAUAACCCCAAGAAAUUGGGGCUAAUACUGGAUAUGACUGCUGACCGCAUGGUCUGGUGGUGGAAAGAUUUAUCGGCUGAGGAUGGGCCCGCGGCCUAUCAGCUUGUUGGUGGGGUCACGGCCCACCAAGGCGACGACGGGUAGCCGGCCUGAGAGGGUGACCGGCCACACUGGGACUGAGACACGGCCCAGACUCCUACGGGAGGCAGCAGUGGGGAAUAUUGCGCAAUGGGCGAAAGCCUGACGCAGCGACGCCGCGUGGGGGAUGACGGCCUUCGGGUUGUAAACCUCUUUCAGCAGGGACGAAGCGGAAGUGACGGUACCUGCAGAAGAAGCACCGGCCAACUACGUGCCAGCAGCCGCGGUAAUACGUAGGGUGCAAGCGUUGUCCGGAAUUAUUGGGCGUAAAGAGCUCGUAGGCGGUCUGUCGCGUCGGCUGUGAAAACCCGAGGCUCAACCUCGGGCCUGCAGUCGAUACGGGCAAACUAGAGUGUUGCAGGGGAGACUGGAAUUCCUGGUGUAGCGGUGAAAUGCGCAGAUAUCAGGAGGAACACCGGUGGCGAAGGCGGGUCUCUGGGCAACAACUGA
RNAcentral lists this ribosomal RNA (641 nucleotides) under Modestobacter sp. I12A-02573. RNAcentral's name for it is "bacterial SSU rRNA". It matches the Rfam family "Bacterial small subunit ribosomal RNA", at positions 89 to 743 of the family's 1533-position model. Lineage: Bacteria; Bacillati; Actinomycetota; Actinomycetes; Geodermatophilales; Geodermatophilaceae. The record is from RNAcentral.